CCUACGGGAGGCUGCAGUGAGGAAUAUUGGUCAAUGGACGCAAGUCUGAACCAGCCAAGCCGCGUGCAGGAUGACUGCUCUAUGGGUUGUAAACUUCUUUUUUAAAGGAGUAAAACGAGGUACGUGUGUCUUCUUGCACGUACUUUACGAAUAAGGAUCGGCUAACUCCGUGCCAGCAGCCGCGGUAAUACGGAGGAUCCGAGCGUUAUCCGGAUUUAUUGGGUUUAAAGGGUGCGUAGAUGGGUUGUUAAGUUAGAUGUGAAAGUUUGGGGCUCAACCAUAGAAUUGCAUUUGAUACUGGCAGACGAGAGAAUAGUUGAGGUAGGCGGAAUUCGUGGUGUAGCGGUGAAAUGCGUAGAGAUCACGAAGAACACCGAUUGCGAAGGCAGCUUACUAAACUGUGACUGACGUUGAUGCUCGAAAGCGUGGGUAUCAAACAGGAUUAGAUACCCCGGUAGUC
Molecule: ribosomal RNA, 460 nt
Filed under: uncultured bacterium
Lineage: Bacteria
Description: partial 16S ribosomal RNA
Rfam family: Bacterial small subunit ribosomal RNA
Source: RNAcentral